RNAcentral lists this ribosomal RNA (160 nucleotides) under Cynoglossus melampetalus. Its description in RNAcentral is "5.8S ribosomal RNA". It matches the Rfam family "5.8S ribosomal RNA". Rfam says of the family: 5.8S ribosomal RNA (5.8S rRNA) is a component of the large subunit of the eukaryotic ribosome. It is transcribed by RNA polymerase I as part of the 45S precursor that also contains 18S and 28S rRNA. Lineage: Eukaryota; Metazoa; Chordata; Actinopteri; Pleuronectiformes; Cynoglossidae. The record is from RNAcentral.
UACAACUCUUAGCGGGGGAUCACUCGGCUCGUGCGUCGAUGAAGAACGCAGCUAGCUGCGAGAACUAAUGUGAAUUGCAGGACACAUUGAUCAUCGACAUUUCGAACGCACCUUGCGGCCCCGGGUUCUUCCCGGGGCUACGCCUGUCUGAGGGUCGCUU